Arabidopsis thaliana (thale cress) is the source of this 447-nucleotide long non-coding RNA. RefSeq annotates it as other RNA. The record is from RefSeq. The transcript has a single exon. NCBI's taxonomy places the organism in Eukaryota, Viridiplantae, Streptophyta, Magnoliopsida, Brassicales, Brassicaceae.
AAGAUUCCUUGCGAGCACCCUGUCCUUAGACAUAGCAUCAUUAUAUAAUAAUCUUCUCUAAUAUCCAAGUAAGCUGGAUAGUAAUAAAUAGAUACAAAUUCAACAUUCCAAGAUGGACUCUAAUCUAAAUUGCACAAAACAAACAAGGGAUCCAAUUUCCUAUAAAGUUAAGAGAUUGCAGAACUUGACAGACACAACAAACAUGAGAUCACCGACAAAAGAUUGAAACUUUAACAACAGUAGUUUCUCAAAACUAGGAACAACAGAACUAAUAAGCAACCCACCAUCAAUUGAUUAGCUAAAGAUAAAGAAAACAACUCAAAUUUAAAAAAAACUGAUUACAAAGACAGUGAUUCAAAUUAGAAAAACGCAUAAAAACCAACCGAAGAUAGAAUUAAGGGAAAAUGGAGGAUUAAGAAAGGUGAGUAUUGAACCUGUUCAUCGUUG